RNAcentral lists this long non-coding RNA (528 nucleotides) under Triticum aestivum (bread wheat). RNAcentral describes it as "long non-coding RNA (TAES_LNC003174)". Lineage: Eukaryota; Viridiplantae; Streptophyta; Magnoliopsida; Poales; Poaceae. The record is from RNAcentral.
AUAACUCAACUGAUUGAUUGCCACGAGAACCAACUAAGAUACUGAAACACUGCUAAACAUACCGAAUGAAAAAACGGUCAUCGAUAGGUUUCAAACUAACACAUGUGCAAUUCAAGCCAAAUCCGAAGGUAAGGAUGGGGGGUCAAACAAGGAAGACUAGCCAAAAUCAAUGUCACAUUCUCCUUCCAAUUUGCAUCUAUCACUGUGUGAGCCAUAGUGGAGGUCAACGUAGAUCAGGAGCUCGCGCAUCUUCCUCGCGACAUCAGCUGACGUCCUCGACUUCAAAUUGAAGUGGCCCUUCAUCUUGGCAGCAGUGUCCUCGCCAUUGCGGCUGUCACGCACGGCGGUGAGCCUCCUCCGUCCCGCCAACUAGUAUGGGAAGCCACCGCGGAACAGCGCCACGACUACCGAGUACCUAGGACGAUACAACCAGCACAAUCAGAUAAAGUGAUAACAGAAAAUAAGCAGUACAUUAUCUGAAAAUAAGGAGUACCCGGAAUCUUGUCAACCAAAAUGCGAGCUUUCUCG